UACGAAGGUGGCAAGCGUUACUCGGAAUUACUAGGCGUAAAGCGCAGGUAGGCGGUUUGAUAAGUCUUUUGUGAAAGCUCCCGGCUUAACUGGGAGAGGUCAAAGGAAACUGUCAGGCUAGAGUGUGGUAGAGGAUGCUGGAAUUCCCGGUGUAGCGGUGAAAUGCGUAGAUAUCUGGAGGAACACCGGUGGCGAAGGCGGCAUCCUGGACCGGCAUUGACGCUGAGGUGCGAAAGCGUGGGGAGCAAACAGG
Molecule: ribosomal RNA, 253 nt
Filed under: uncultured bacterium
Lineage: Bacteria
Description: partial 16S ribosomal RNA
Rfam family: Bacterial small subunit ribosomal RNA
Source: RNAcentral